CAGCAGCCGCGGUAAUACGGAGGGAGCUAGCGUUGUUCGGAAUUACUGGGCGUAAAGCGCACGUAGGCGGUUAUUCAAGUCAGAGGUGAAAGCCCGGGGCUCAACCCCGGAACUGCCUUCGAAACUAGAUGACUGGAAUCUUGGAGAGGUCAGUGGAAUUCCGAGUGUAGAGGUGAAAUUCGUAGAUAUUCGGAAGAACACCAGUGGCGAAGGCGACUGACCGGACAAGUAUUGACGCUGAGGUGCGAAAGCGUGGGGAGCAAACAGGAUUAGAUACCCCCGUAGUCCUGUCUCUUAUACA
Molecule: ribosomal RNA, 301 nt
Filed under: uncultured bacterium
Lineage: Bacteria
Description: partial 16S ribosomal RNA
Rfam family: Bacterial small subunit ribosomal RNA
Source: RNAcentral